This 208-nucleotide long non-coding RNA is filed under the name Olea europaea (common olive). RNAcentral's name for it is "long non-coding RNA (OEUR_LNC006373)". The record is from RNAcentral. Lineage: Eukaryota; Viridiplantae; Streptophyta; Magnoliopsida; Lamiales; Oleaceae.
GAAAUAUCAUGAGUUUGUAUAUUUCCCAAUUGACCCUUAGAAACUAAAAAUUUUAAACGACUAGCGGAAACAUGUCCAAGGCGAGAAUGCCACAAAUAAAAACUAGAAGACGAUGAAUUCAAAGAAAAAGAUGACAAAUCAACACCAGAGGCUGCAACGUGUGAUGAUCUUAAAUUGUCCAGAACAUAUAACCCCCCUUGUCUACGGC